Cyanistes caeruleus (blue tit) is the source of this 978-nucleotide non-coding RNA. The record is from RefSeq and is a predicted model, not a curated record. NCBI's taxonomy places the organism in Eukaryota, Metazoa, Chordata, Aves, Passeriformes, Paridae.
CUUGCCUUCAGUGAGAGUUGUCUGGAAGAUUCUCCUCACCCAUGGAGAACAUCUCUUCUCUGUACUGGAGGAGGCCUAGGCACUAAGCCCCAGCGUCAUAGUGAGGUUACUGGGACAAUGAAGAGCUUAUUCUGUGAGAUCCAUGGUUGAACAGCUUGCCCUGUCUCCUCCUGAGGUCAGCUCCUGCUGGUCCUGCCAUAUGGAUGGCACACAUGACUUUUACUGCACUGCCCAAGUAUGCUGGUUCAUGGCUGCCCGCCUCAACCCUGCCACCAGAGCUGCACCACUACCAUGACUGCUCCAGAUUCUCUGCUGCAAGUGCAAGGAGCUGAAGGAAAUUGAAAAGUCUCAGAGAUGAAGCUCAUCCUUAAGGAAGGUCGCCUGUAGGUAAAAGGAAGGAAGAAGGGGUGGAGGAAGAGGGCAACUGCACCCUUCCCCCAGUAAUGCAGCCCUGGGGAAGUUCUCAGCUGUAGGCUGAUGGAGUGAGGCAGGCAGGAUGCUGGACAUCUUCAAUAGAUGCAAUAUCUUGGCAAAUCAACUAACAUAAAUGUUUACAACAAAACACACUACUGUCAGAGAAAGAGGAAGAACAUUUGCCAAAGCUCCUACAACAGUUAUGUUAUUGGAACCACUUGUUCUCCAGUUUUGACCAUUUGUUUCCCAUCAUGCGACCACAGAUUAUGAAACCAGAAGCAGCACAGGUGCAGAGUUCAUUCAAGGUGGAGAAGGAAGAGAUAAGAAAUGAAAUAAACAAAUCAUUGCUUGCACUGCUGUACAAAGGCACAAAGCAUAUGACUCACUGUCACAGGUAAAAAGGUUUAUGUGGGGAGCAAAUGACAUUAUUGCCACACUGGAUGGGGGAGGACAGAAAAUUAGCUUUAGAAAGCUUCAAUUCACUUUCCAGAAUAUAAAAUACAUCCAGACAUCCUAACUGGUAGUAUUUUGGCUCAGAAAAAGUAGAAAAUCAAAUGCGGUCAU